This 372-nucleotide unclassified non-coding RNA is filed under the name uncultured Gammaproteobacteria bacterium. RNAcentral describes it as "contains 16S-23S intergenic spacer region". Lineage: Bacteria; Pseudomonadati; Pseudomonadota; Gammaproteobacteria. The record is from RNAcentral.
UCCGGUUUGUCACCGGCAGUCUCAUUAGAGUGCUCUUGCGUAGCAACUAAUGACAAGGGUUGCGCUCGUUGCGGGACUUAACCCAACAUCUCACGACACGAGCUGACGACAGCCAUGCAGCACCUGUGUCCUGGCUCCCUUUCGGGCACUCCCACAUCUCUGCAGGAUUCCAAGCAUGUCAAGGGUAGGUAAGGUUUUUCGCGUUGCAUCGAAUUAAUCCACAUCAUCCACCGCUUGUGCGGGUCCCCGUCAAUUCCUUUGAGUUUUAAUCUUGCGACCGUACUCCCCAGGCGGUCUACUUCACGCGUUAGCUUCGUUACCAAGAGGUAACCCUCCCGACAACUAGUAGACAUCGUUUAGGGCGUGGACUAC